Long non-coding RNA from Mesocricetus auratus (golden hamster), 3068 nucleotides. RefSeq lists it as uncharacterized. The record is from RefSeq and is a predicted model, not a curated record. NCBI's taxonomy places the organism in Eukaryota, Metazoa, Chordata, Mammalia, Rodentia, Cricetidae. The transcript has 3 exons.
UGCACAUUUUUCACAGAAAGAAGAAAGACAUCAGGGCUGGCUUUCCCUUGGCUGUAAAACAAGAAUGAAGCAUUUUACCUUGUUUUUCACCCAAUACAGCGGACAGGAGGAUUGGCCUUUCCAGAAAAGAAAAAAAACCCUGCUAGAUCACUUAAAGGCCAUCUGGGAAACUUGUUACGGGCAGAUAGCUGGUGACUGUCCUGGGCCCCCAGAGGCCAGCAGGGCACCAUUGUCUGCAUGGUACCAUAAAGGGACCUCCACAGCUGGUGUCCAGGGCUCUGAAACUAACAGCUAAUUUCUUCCUUUUUUUUUCCAUACGUCGGGUUGAUUUGCGACAUCAUCUGGUGGUUUUGUUUUUGUAAGAAAUUCCUUCGCAAAUAGAAACUAUAAAAGAACUCAACAUGGCCACAGCAGAAGGGUAGGCGGUAGCGAGUGAUGGUGUGGAUGCUGAGAGACUGGACCCAAAGUGAAGUAGCACUCUCCUGGCUCAUAACACCCUUUUGGGAGACGCCCAUCAGAAUACCCGAGGUUGGGAAAGCUCAGAGAAACCAGGUCUUGCUACUCAAAACAGUUCAGACUUUCUGCAACCAGAUCAAGACUACGAGGCCUCAGCCAUGCCCACGGUGAUACCCAGCCGAUAUCUCCCCAGCUGGUCUAAGCUCCUGUCCUCCCAGGAAGGAGGAAGCCAUCUUUAAGACCAGCUUUUCACAUUUCUCCAACAUUCCCUGCAGGAUCUGCACUGAUCUUUACUACAAAACCCUCAGCUCUUUUUUAAACUUUACCUAUCUUCUCUGCUCCCUAUUAUUAGUGCUUACUUCCCUAAUUAUUCACAAAGAACAUUUUACAAUUCAUGUGUGUUGUAACCCACACCUCUUUCUUUGUUCUUAUGUGAGAGCAAAUCUACCAUUCUAGAGGUGGGCAUAGAAGAAAAGAGCUUUAGUAUUUAAAAAUGAAAAACAAAGAAAUGCACAGAACAGCUCUUAUUUUAAUUAACUUCUUAAUAUAGGACUUGCUACUUCAAACCAGUUGUCAUUAAAUCUGUUCAGCAGAUGUCAACAACACAUUGUAACAUAAGCAGUCUAUGUUGGCUAGUUUUAUAACUUGACACAAACUAGAGUCAUCUGAAGUAAGGGAACCUAAAUUAGGAAAAUGAGUCCAUAAGAUCCACUGUCACAAAUUUUCUUAAUUAGUGAUUGAUAGGGGAGGGCCCAGUCCAUUGUGAGUGAUGCCAUCCCUGGGUUGGUGGUCCUGGGUUCUAUAAGAAAGCAGAUUGAGCAAACAAAGAGAAAUAACCCAGCAACAGCAUCUAUCCAUGGCCGCUGCAUCAGUUUUCUGCCUCCAGGUUCUGUUUGAGUUUGAGUUUCUGUCCUGGCUUCCUUCAGUCAUGUACUACAAUUUGGAAGUGUAAGGCAAAUAAACCCUUUCAUCCCCAACUUGCUUUUGAUUAUGGUGUUUCACCACAGCAAUAACAACUCUGACAAGGACAGAAAUUGGUACCAGGAGCCGGGUACUGCUGUAACAGACCUGAUCAUGUUGGUUUGGGAAGGAUUGUGGAAAGACUUUGGAACUUAAGUUUAGAAAAACCAUUGACUGUUCAAAAGUUGGGGAGCUGUUCUAUGGGAGAUCGGGAGAUAAGAGCAUUGGGAGACAUGAAGAUGAUGAAGGCCUGGGUUGUGAAGUUGCAAAGGGAAGUUUGAAAGUUCUGAAAGACUCUACCAGGGGUGUGGAAUGGUUGUUAAGAUCCUGUGGUUGUGGUUAGCUGGGGCUGAAGAAUCACCUGUGAUAAACAAGAGAGCAAAACCCCUAAAGUUAAAUCUUUGCUUUACUAGGACACUUUGACGUUGGUUAGCUGGAGCUGAGAAAUUAGUGGUGGCCAAGAAGAGAUCGGAGUCACUGAGGUGAAGUCUUCUGGGAGGCUAUUUCAUAAGCAUCAGCACAGAGAACCCACGUUCAAGAGGUGGCCAAGGCUGUACCUUGCGCUGCCACCUGAACUUGGCUGUGUGAGAGUGACCCAGGUGGUGCUGGUUCUGAAGGCAUGAUGGGAUCGUGGAGGGCUGCUGAGGCUCGGCCCUGUGAGGGGCCAGGAGAGGCCACUGGUGAAGGCGCAGCCUCAGUAGCAGAUGAAGCCUCAAAAUUGAAGGGGUCAUGGAGAGAAAUUGAGUCUUGGCACCAUGAAGAGAGCGCAGGAGAAGCUAUUGGUGAAAAUGAUGCCGGUAUCAUGGAAGGACAACCCCAAAUAGCGACAGUGGUGGAAUGGAGCCAGCUGGAGCCAAGAGUGGGCAACUGAAGAAAACCCUCCCUGGGAAAGUACCAAGAUCUCCAAGAGCAGCUAGCUGUGUGGUUUAAAAUCUCCUUCGCACUCACUUCAGCGUGUUACAAGCAUUCACAACAUACUUCGUUGACUAGAUAACUGACCUGAAUAUGCAAGGAGGAUCACAAAGAAAAGGAGAGGAGAGAGAAAUACAGGAGGAUGGGUCCUAGGACCAGAAUGAUCGUGCUGAUUGUGUUGACCGUGGGACGAAGUUCUGCAAACUGGACUCUGGGAUUCCAGGUUCUAAUGCUCCCACGAAUGCAAGGGCACUGGAGAACACCAAGUGAAAUUCUACAGCAAAAUCAUCAGCACUUGAUUCUCUUUGUGAUUCCAUUGGUUCUACACUCUGAUUCACAAUGUCAACCUAGUUAUUGCUGCACCGCCUUCCACAGGCGGCAGCAGCAGCAGCACUGUUUUGGAGAUGAAUUACUUAUUUGGUCGCCCUGAUUGUAUGGUGAUUACCGAAACUGUCUUAACAGUUCCCUCUGAGCAAAGGUCAAGAUGGUUCUCUCUUGUGUCCAUAAAGAUGAUUAUGGAGACAGGUCAAAGGUCAUUUCUAAAAAGAGGGCAACGAUUCUACCGGGAGUCUUCUCAUGGCCCUUUUGCCAAGUUUCUGGGUUGGCUAAUUACUUUUGGUUUAAAAAAGACUUUUUUUGAUAGUUGCACCUCUGUUUUAUUGAUGAAUUACAUAGGAGGGCUAAGGCAGUUUACACACUACACACCCAGCACUCUCUAUGAGAGAGAGAGAGAGAGAGAG